RNAcentral lists this transfer RNA (68 nucleotides) under Marmota monax (woodchuck). RNAcentral's name for it is "tRNA.Ala". Lineage: Eukaryota; Metazoa; Chordata; Mammalia; Rodentia; Sciuridae. The record is from RNAcentral.
GGACUGUGACUCAGUGGCAAAGCGCUUGCCUAGCAUGCAUGAGGCACUGUGUUCGAUUCUCAGCACCA